UAUUCAUUUAAAAAAACAAAAACACCUACUUAGAUUUCAUAGACUGUAACCAGUUUUAGACUUUGCUUAACCUUUAUUCUAGGAGGUAAAAUUGUGAUGGGUGUUGUCAAUGACCUAAAAACAGUGGUGCUGGCAUGAUCUCUUCUUCAUGAUUUCUAACCAGUUAAAGUUCUGCUGUUGGCUCUGAGCAUCCUCAUCACUAUGAAACACAAUAUGUUUGGCUGCAGUUUGAGAUGGCAAUGGUCUAGAAGAAUCCCUUGGAAUGUACUAAAUUACCAAGAUAGUGGAAUCCUUUUCCACCUAAGGACAGUAGCUGGAGGAAAGAUGGAGUUCGUUUUUAGCCCAAACAGCCAGUGAGAUGUUAGAAUGACUAGAGUAAAAUAAAAAUGUUUUCUGACAAGAAAAGAAUGGAUUGGUUAUGUAUAGAAGUAAGUCAUCUGCACAGAAGUUGAGUAUAUGGUGGAAAGCAGCUAUGUGGAAAGCAGCACUCCCUGAAUGACCUUUAGAUCUUCAUACCUAAAGGUUCAUCAGUUUAAAAUGAUUGUCUUGGAUGAAAAUGGCAAACCUAGUGUGCACUUCUGAAAAUAUAAGUAUUUAAAGGUAGCAUUCUGAGCAUUUGGGUAGAAGGAUGUUUGUAAAGAAGAGGAAACCAGCUUGAUAAAAUGAGAAAUGAAGCUGCCUCAUCCAAGCAUGUAUAAUAGCUAUUGCCAUUCAAUACGGCUGAAAGGUUUUUUCUGCAGCUAAUGGAAAAUGCAGCUUCUGAAGUGUCACUAAUUUUGACAGAGACCUCAAUGUCUUCAGUUAAGUCUCAAACUUAAAUGGGAUGUGCAAAUAUAUUUUUUCAUAUUCUCUUUUGUUUUCUUGAGUGUUAAAUCCAAAAUUACUUGUCCUUGGUACUAAGAGCAUAUUACUGAUAGUGGCAGGUGGUUCAUCUAGUUACCUGGUUCCUUUCUUGACUUUAGACAAAUCCCUUCAUGUGAUCUAAUGUCUCUUCUCAUAUCCAUAUUCUUGAAAAAGUCAUCUUCAUUAUGAGACUGCAUUAUUUGAAGUUUUAGGAAAAUUCCAGCCAACAACUUCAUUUUCAGUUCUUCUCCUACUGCACUACAUGUAACAUUUCCUUAUUAAAUUUGAUCAUAAAUGGAAUAGUAUGUGGCAUAGAGCACUCAUUGUUCAUACACAGCGAUUUGUAUCCUUCUGUCUAAGGGUCCACUGAAUUCAAUUAAGACGGCACUUCAAUACUUAGGAGCUUCAAGACUUUUAUUAAUGUGUUCAUGUAGUAUGAAGGACAAUAAAUCAAACUAUGUAUGAUACUUAUAUAUGUAAAUAUAAGUUAAUAUAUACUAUGCAUUAUAAGGUGUCAAAAUAUGAAUACUUGGACUCAGUAUAAGUCCUUUGAAGCCAUUGGCAU
RNAcentral lists this long non-coding RNA (1408 nucleotides) under Meleagris gallopavo (turkey). RNAcentral describes it as "lncRNA (ENSMGAG00000020034.1)". The record is from RNAcentral. Lineage: Eukaryota; Metazoa; Chordata; Aves; Galliformes; Phasianidae.